Molecule: ribosomal RNA, 422 nt
Filed under: uncultured bacterium
Lineage: Bacteria
Description: bacterial SSU rRNA
Rfam family: Bacterial small subunit ribosomal RNA
Source: RNAcentral
AGGAAUAUUGGUCAAUGGACGCGAGUCUGAACCAGCCAAGUAGCGUGAAGGAUGACUGCCCUAUGGGUUGUAAACUUCUUUUAUAUGGGAAUAAAACAGGGUAUGCAUACCCUCUUGUAUGUACCAUAUGAAUAAGGAUCGGCUAACUCCGUGCCAGCAGCCGCGGUAAUACCGAGGAUCCGAGCGUUAUCCGGAUUUAUUGGGUUUAAAGGGAGCGUAGGUGGGUUGUUAAGUCAGUUGUGAAAGUUUGCGGCUCAACCGUAAAAUUGCAGUUGAUACUGGCAUCCUUGAGUACAGUAGAGGUAGGCGGAAUUCGUGGUGUAGCGGUGAAAUGCUUAGAUAUCACGAAGAACUCCGAUUGCGAAGGCAGCCUGCUGGACUGUAACUGACGCUGAUGCUCGAAAGUGUGGGUAUCAAACAGG